This 505-nucleotide ribosomal RNA is filed under the name uncultured bacterium. RNAcentral describes it as "partial 16S ribosomal RNA". It matches the Rfam family "Bacterial small subunit ribosomal RNA", at positions 28 to 507 of the family's 1533-position model. The record is from RNAcentral.
GACGAACGCUGGCGGCGUGCCUAAUACAUGCAAGUAGAACGCACAGUCUAUACCGUAGCUUGCUACACCAUAAACUGUGAGUUGCGAACGGGUGAGUAACGCGUAGGUAACCUGCCUGGUAGCGGGGGAUAACUAUUGGAAACGAUAGCUAAUACCGCAUAAUAUUGAUUAUUGCAUGAUAAUUGAUUGAAAGAUGCUAUUGCAUCACUACCAGAUGGACCUGCGUUGUAUUAGCUAGUAGGUGAGGUAACGGCUCACCUAGGCGACGAUACAUAGCCGACCUGAGAGGGUGAUCGGCCACACUGGGACUGAGACACGGCCCAGACUCCUACGGGAGGCAGCAGUAGGGAAUCUUCGGCAAUGGACGGAAGUCUGACCGAGCAACGCCGCGUGAGUGAAGAAGGUUUUCGGGUCGUAAAGCUCUGUUGUAAGGGAAGAACGGGUGUGAGAGUGGAAAGUUCACACUGUGACGGUAUCUUACCAGAAAGGGACGGCUAACUACGUG